CAGGCAGGUAUCUGUACCCCAUGUUCACUGCAGCAUUAUUCACAGUAGCCAAGAUAUGGAAACAACCUAAAUGUCUAUUGAUGGAUAAGUGAAUAAAGAAAUAUGAGUCCACUGAAUUCCAGUGAAGAAAAGAGGGUCACAAACACAAUACCAUAAACCACAUCCUCCUAGGAUCUGGAACCAAGAUGAUCUUAGCUGUAUAAAACAAAUUGAAGAGGAUCUCCCUUUUCCCACUAUCAAAAUGGGAAUUUUUUUGGAAUUUAAAUUGGAACAAUUUCAUUCUUGAAUGUGUGGAAGAACUUGCCUAUGUUGCACAAAUCUACAU
Long non-coding RNA from Mustela erminea (ermine), 325 nucleotides. RefSeq lists it as uncharacterized. NCBI's taxonomy places the organism in Eukaryota, Metazoa, Chordata, Mammalia, Carnivora, Mustelidae. The transcript has 3 exons. The record is from RefSeq and is a predicted model, not a curated record.